This 1174-nucleotide long non-coding RNA is filed under the name Prunus persica (peach). Its description in RNAcentral is "long non-coding RNA (PPER_LNC006440)". The record is from RNAcentral. Lineage: Eukaryota; Viridiplantae; Streptophyta; Magnoliopsida; Rosales; Rosaceae.
GGUAUGGACAUUUUUACAAUUUUCUGUACAUAUUUCUGGACUUCAAGCCCUUACAUAAUUGUCCAUAUCUUGAGGAACUUCUGGCAUCUCAUUUAAUUGCUCAUCCAUGAGUUUAAGGAACUGCAGGUUCCCUUUUGAAUAGUGACAGUUUACCCAAAAUGGUAAAUAUUUAUGCAUACAUCACUAUUCAUGUAUACGGCACUAUUCAUGUGUACAGUACAUUUGCCAAUACAGUUAUUUUCAUGUGUACGGCACUAUUAACCAAUAUAAUACUGUUACAUCAUUUAAGGAACCCCAGGUCCUUAUUUACAUAUCAAGAAUCAAGGACCCUCAAGUCCGAUCACAUGUUUACAAAUAUAGUACUGGAGAGACAGCCAGCUCUCAUAUCAAUAUCAUCAUCAAGGAUCUUCAAGUCCUGAUGUAGUUGUAUGAUGAGGAUCAAGAAACUUCUGGUUCUGAUCUGUAUCUUUGUAAAAAAAAACUCAUCAUACCACACAAUUAAUCCAUAAAAUAAAUUGCUUGUAAAUUAAAUUAUUGGUAAAUGAAUUGCUUGUAUGGACGAUAAACCCACACCAUACGUUAAAUAAAAGUAAAUGUGCGGUAAAGUAAAUUCAUAAAGUAUGAGGGUUAAUUCCUCAUCAUACUUUAAGUAAAAGUAAAUGUGCGGUAAAGUAAAUUCAUAAAGUAUGAGGGUUAAUUCCUCAUCAUACUUUAAGUAAAAGUAAAUGUGCGAUAAAAUAAAUUGCUUGCUAUAUGGACGUUAAUUCCGCACCAUAUCUUAAAUAAAAUUAAAUGUGCGGUAAAAUAAAUUGCUUGCUAUAUGGACGUUAAUUCCGCACCAUAUCUUAAAUAAAAUUAAAUGUGCGGUAAAAUAAAUUGCUUGCUAUAUGGACGUUAAUUCCGCACUAUAUAUUAAAUAAAAUUAAAUGUGCGGUAAAGUAAAUUCAUAAAGUAUGAGGGUUAAUUCCACAUCAUACUUUUAAAUAAAAAGAAAGGCGUGGACGAUAAACCCGCGCCACCCUUUUAAAUAAAUAUUGUCGUAUGGGUAAUAAAACUACACCAUACAGUAAUUAAAAUAAAUAAGGGGUUAAAACCACCACCGAAUAAAAUAAGAAAAAUGUUAGUAUUAGUAACGGUCUCCCACUGAUAAUAUGUUUAGUAUUACCAAGGGUCC